ACUCCUACGGGAGGCAGCAGUGGGGAAUCUUAGACAAUGGGGGAAGCCCAUCGAUCUAGCCAUGCCGCGUGAGCGAUGAAGGCCUUAGGGUUGUAAAGCUCUUUCGCUAGGGGAAGAUAAUGACGGUGACCCAGUAAAGAAGUCCCGGCUAACUCCGUGCCAGCAGCCGCGGUAAUACGGAGGGGACUAGCGUUGUUCGGAAUUACUGGGCGUAAAGCGCGCGUAGGCGGAUCAGAAAGUUGGGGUGAAAUCCCGGGGCUCAACCCCGGAACUGCCUCCAAAACGUCCUC
RNAcentral lists this ribosomal RNA (290 nucleotides) under uncultured bacterium. RNAcentral's name for it is "partial 16S ribosomal RNA". It matches the Rfam family "Bacterial small subunit ribosomal RNA", at positions 335 to 641 of the family's 1533-position model. The record is from RNAcentral.